GCUGGUUGCCGUACAUCUGCUGAAGCGGAUAAAUACCUUGGAGAGAAAAGGAAAAAGGAAGCUGAAGAAAGUUAUCAGAGAGCAAAAGAAAGUGUCUGGGUUGGUCCAAGCAGCCAAGGAGGAUAUGCUAAUGAUUUGGAUCCAUUGGGCUUUUAUGCAUCACAAUUACUAUCUAAAGCUGUGAAAGUAAAGAUAGAGCAGCCGAGUGAGAUUUCUUAUAGCUGUGCCUUGAAGACACAUUCGGAUUAGCUCCAGGUAUAUCAUAGGUAUA
Molecule: unclassified non-coding RNA, 271 nt
Filed under: Hevea brasiliensis (rubber tree)
Lineage: Eukaryota; Viridiplantae; Streptophyta; Magnoliopsida; Malpighiales; Euphorbiaceae
Source: RNAcentral